CCCUUCAGUGCGACUCAGAUGGGUUUUGGACGGGUAGCGUUUCUACUUGCUCACCGCCCGUAGAAGUUCCGGAUAAGUGCAGUGCCCCUUACGUUCCAAGAUAUGCAUCCAUCCAAGGCCUGCAACUGAAUUAUGACUAUGGUGACAGCAUUACCGUGACAUGUGACAAUAGCAGUGAUCGGUUUAACCUUCAGUGUGACACGAAAGGUCGAUGGAACGGACAUGUAGUGUCAUGUCCUGUACCUACCCCAGCCCCUAUACGAUGCACUAGUCCAUACAUCCCAAAGUACGCAUCAGCUGAAAACAUACGUUUCGUCUACAGCCUCGGUGAGAGUGUAACAAUCACCUGUGACAGCAACACAGACAGGUCGUUUACUCUUCAGUGCAACCCAGAUGGGUUUUGGACGGGUAGUGUCCUUUCUUGC
Molecule: long non-coding RNA, 425 nt
Organism: Strongylocentrotus purpuratus (purple sea urchin)
Lineage: Eukaryota; Metazoa; Echinodermata; Echinoidea; Camarodonta; Strongylocentrotidae
Exons: 3
Source: RefSeq, a predicted model, not a curated record